UAAAAUAAAUACCAGUUGCGCACUGGGGUCAGUGUAACUUAUCUUUUCCCCAAAGUUGCUGGCCUUGUGCCAAAAGUUGAACCCAUUACUAUUAUUAUUAUUAUUAUUAUUAUUAGAAUGGUGGUUUGGCUGACUCAUUUACACAUUGGACAAAAUGCUUAUUGGCAUUCCUUCCACCCUUCACGUUCUGAGUUCAGUUCCUGCCACUGUCGAGUUUGCCUUUCUUCCUUUUGAGGUCAAUGAAAUGAAGUACAAAUUAAGUACUAGAGUCCAUGGAAUUAGGAUAAAACUGAAAACUUUUCUCUCAAUAAGUAAAACAUGAACACAAUAAGCAAUAUAUUUUAAGUUUAUUUAUAAUGAUGCCAUCAUCAUCAUCAUCAGCCAGACCUCAGCCACACAGAGGAAGCCUGAUAUCCCAUCUAUAUCAUUUAUGAAUUAUUAUCUGGCUGUCGGUCUACUGUGAUAUCGGUCAUGUGAGAUGUUAUCUCCAUAACAUAGCCACAGAGCUAGCAUUUAUAAUGUAGCCACAGAUAAGCAGUGGUACAAUUAUGUCAGAGCUAGCAUCAAUAAUGUAGCCACAGAUUAUUUGUUAUUGUGUCAGAGCUAGCAUCAAUAAUGUAGCCACAGAUUAUCAGUGAUAGUGUCAGAGCUAGCAUCAAUAAUGUAGCCACAGAUUAUCAGUGAUAGUGUCAGAGCUAGCAUCAAUAACGUAGCCACAGAUUAUCAGUGAUAGUGUCAGAGCUAGCAUCAAUAAUGUAGCCACAGAUUAUCAGUGAUAGUGUCAGAGCUAGCGUCGAUAACGUAGCCACAGAUUAUCGGUGAUAGUGUCAGAGCUAGCAUCAAUAACGUAGCCACAGAUUAUCAGUGAUAGUGUCAGAGCUAGCAUCAAUAAUGUAGCCACAGAUUAUCAGUGAUAGUGUCAGAGCUAGCAUCAAUAACAUAGCCACAGAUUAUCAGUGAUAGUGUCAGAGCUAGCAUCAAUAACGUAGCCACAGAUUAUCAGUGAUAGUGUCAGAGCUAGCGUCGAUAAUGUAGCCACAGAUUAUCGGUGAUAGUGUCAGAGCUAGCAUCAAUAACGUAGCCACAGAUUAUCAGUGAUAGUGUCAGAGCUAGCAUCAAUAACGUAGCCACAGAUUAUCGAUGAUAUGAUAGUGUCAGAGCUAGCAACUGUAACAUUAGCCAUAGAUUAACUGUGAUACGGAAGAUACCUUCAGAAAUAUUGAUGGGUUAUUUGCUAGAAAGAAAAAAAAAGGAAAAAAUUGAGAAAUUCUUAAGUUAUUAAGGGAAAUAAUAGAAGACAAGAUUAGAAUGAUAAUUAGUCUGACUAUGAUGGUGAUUGUAAUAAUAAUAAUAAUAGCAAUAAUAACGAUGAUGAUGAUAAUAAUAAAUAGUAAUAAAAUCAAUGAUUUAGCCAUUUUUAGACUUAUUUCAGUGCUAAAUUUUAGCCAAUAACUGCUUUUUGUUUUCAUUGUUGCAUUAUUGCAAAUAUUUUUUUUUUUUUGCUGUUGUUGUAGGUUUGAAAAGAAAAACAAAAGAGAAAAAAAAAAAAGCAAAUUUAAAUAUUGCAAUCUUUGAUCAUUUUUGUCUUUCAAAAUGAACUCCUCCUCCUCCUCUUCCUUCUCUUCCUGCCACUACUAAUAAAAAACCCAUCCACCACCUCGUUACUCUCCACCCCCCACUUUCCUUUAAAAAAAAAUAUUAGCAAAAUGUAAAA
Molecule: long non-coding RNA, 1714 nt
Filed under: Octopus sinensis (East Asian common octopus)
Lineage: Eukaryota; Metazoa; Mollusca; Cephalopoda; Octopoda; Octopodidae
Description: uncharacterized LOC118767694
Source: RNAcentral